GGGAGCUUAAGUUUAUUUAGUUUAGUUCUAUCGUUCGCAAGUCACGAAGCAUUAACACUCAUUUAACAUUGUCACACCUAAACUCACACCUAACGGAGCACAAUCGGAACCACAAAGAAGGGAAAAGUUGGAGUGGAAAGUGGAUACGUAGAUCGACAGAUAAAUACAAAAGCGGUUGGCGUGGAAGCGGAGGAUUGAUUAAAUCUCUAGGGCUAUCAAUAUUUUAUCAUCCAAAAACGUUGAAGAAUUUUGAAAAUCAAAAAUUAAUGCAACUUGCGAAACAAAAAUCGAUGUAAGCAUAAACGAAGAGGGAAGACGCCAACCAAAAAUUGAAGUAUCCCCAUUCGUAUGCAUCCCCAUCCUGUGCAUCUCAGCCAUAUUGAAACGGUGAGGGAAGUCUCUCAAGGAGGGGCAGAGUUGGAAGUAGAGCAGGUACAAAGUCGUUAGCACUUUGCCUGGUGUGAAGUUACCCAAGUCAACGAGGGCCAGCCCAGUCGCAGAUCUCCAUCUCCAGCCAGCCAGCCUUGUUACACGGCAGACCGGACAGCCAGAAGCCAGACGUUUAACACAGCCAACAAGUGAACGAACAAAAGAGCAUAAAGCGGUCCAGUGCUGAUCGUUGAGCUUAUUUUUCACCAACUUCAGUGGAUACCCAGCUCGAUUCUCAGUUUGGUAAGUACUUUAGUAUUUAUAUAAAAAUUACCUAUUCCCUUAAUCAAAAACACUUAUCGGCAUCAGGUUCCGAAACCAGGUUUCAAUAGGUCAAGUUGUGGUCAAGUUGUGCUAGACAAUAUACAAUCCAAUAUGCAUAUCUAGGAAGUGAUUUCUUAUGGCGCAUAAAAUAUUUUAACAAGUUUCUUAUAGUGGGGUUCCCAUUAAGUGCCUGCUAGAAAACUGGCAGCACUGCAAACUGGACAAGCGAUCGUUCGAGCGUUGUCUGUCCAUCACAUCACGUAUGAAUGGGUUGCUUCGAGAUCCGGGGACAGGGCAUACGACGAUGAUGGGCCAGAAAACAAGUUAAGCUGUCUUAAUAAGAUCAAACACGGCGAUUAUGAGGAAUUACUUGGAGAUAAUGACAUCGGCCAGCGACUCAAAAGACACUCGAUGGUUGUGCUCUCAGCUCUGGAAGUUGAGAGAUCGGAGAUCGGAGAUCAGCACAACUCUAAAUCCUCUGCAAACCGGCAUGGGAAACGAUUUCGUUAAGUGAACUAAUUGCUACAUCUGGAUUCCCAGGGCUCCCACGUACAUAUGCACUUACUUGUAUAUCCGAUACAUAAUUUAAUCAGUGGUUCAAGGAUCGUAGGCGGAAGUACUGUCUUUGGCAUAAAACAACGCAAUACGACUAUAGUACACAAAUGGGAAUGUUAUAUGGCAUCGAGAUUGGAGCCUAAAUCGGGAUUGCUGUGGGGAUCUCGGGAUCGGGAGCGGGCCAGACCUCAAUUUCCUACAAAUAUAGCGUUGUUCACGCUUUGUUUUGAAAUUAUUUUUAUUUUGUGUUAACUAAUGGUCGACCGAUAAGCAAGCACAUGAUGGCGAUAGUCGGCUGUGGCGCAUAGAUAAUCCCACUCAUGGUCAAUCUAAGUUCGAAUCGAAAUGGGAAUUUCUAAAUAAACAGCGCUACCAAGUCGAGGUGUACGGGAAAGCUUAGUCAGCGUUGGGUAUUGAUAGGACUGCAUUGAGACCUACCAAAAUGUUAACUAAACCUCAAGAUGCAUUUUAAAAACCCCUUACGCAAAUCUUUCUUGUUCUCAGCGUAGUUGUCAUCGAUAAAAGAUCAGGUGCGGCAAGAGAAAAAGAGGUGAGGAUGAGCCGUCUGGAGGGGCAGCAUCAUUAUCAAACUCCAUAUCAGGUCUAUGGAAUGAAGAUGAAACCUUGUUGUUGCUGUCGUCAACGAUAUAAUUGCUUCAACUUGAGAAAAAGGGACAGAUUAACAUUUUAGCGUGAAACGGGCGACAAGACAACAAGAGGGGAAAGAAGGAGAGAGGGAGAUGGUGAAGGUAAUGGAGGAGUAGGACGAGGAGGAGGAGUAGGAAAGAAAGAGAGGGAGGAGGAGCAGUAGCAAUCAAAGUAGGAACAGCAGCAACAACAAUUUGUUAGCUCUUUACGAUUAUUGCCUUUCUCACACCUUAUUACCAAGAAAAUAAAGAAGCAGCAUCCACAGGGCAACAACAAAUACGCGACGAUGAGACGUGAAAAUAAAAAAAAAACACACACACACAUGCCCAAGGCACAACAAAAGGCAACAACAACGGCAACAUAGCCGAGAACAAGAUGCUGCCCCUUGGAGUGGACUGGACUGGAGUGGACUGGGAUGGUAUUGAGACUGGAAAAGGGAGUCGGGCAGAGGAGUGAGGGACUGGAAAUCGCACACUCACAGUCACUCUCUCACACCCAUAAACGCUGUACUGCAAGUGCAAGUGAGAGUUAAGAGAGUUAAAAAACAAUCUCUACAAAAUAUUUAUAUAUACUUACAUAUUACAUCUAUUAUAGUAACUAAACUACCUGAAGAUUAUAAAUCACCUAAUCAGUUUCCUAAAUGUAUGAUAGAAAAUGUCAUGAAUCUGGUAGCUAGAUGGUUUAAUCACAAGAAUUUAUGCCAAGAGACGCAUCAAAGAUAUACCAAGUUUAUUAAUAUUUUGUAUGUGUAUACUAUAUAAGGCGAUAACUUGUUGGUUUAAAACGUAGAGGUCAUCGGCUAAAAGGAUUUCAAAUGAAAGAGCGAGCCAAAGGAUGAGCGACAGGGACAAUUAUAUAGUGGCAAGAAAGAGGGAGAGUUACUUUCCCAGCUACCGAUUUAGACGAUGUCCAGUGCUCAACAGCAAAAACAACAACAAGUGGCACUUGCGGCUCUGUUUGUUUAAUGAAACAACAGUCGCACACACACCCAAACACCCAAACACACACGCACACAAACACACCAACACGAUCGAGUCUGUGUGAAACACCAACAAAAACACCUUCGGCAAAUAAAGCAGACAUUGCGGCAACAGUCGACUUGGCGAUACUCUGCACCCCUCUAACCUUGGCCAAUAGGAGGCCAACUCGGUAAGCAGUUCUCGGGCAUCGAAUCUUUGGUAAACUCCCGAACCUACUUAACAGCAAUUUACCACUUACUCCUGCUGAUUUGAUAAAAGUUUUUAUACAAAGAUUAUAGAUCACUUUUAAGAAAACACAGGUUUUUUUUUCGCUGUGCAGGUCACCGUGUGACACCUGACAUAGAGAGACAGAGAGAGAGAAAGAAAAAACUAGAGAGUGAUGGGCUAUUCGUACAUCUCUAGACUGGCGCAACCCAUUAAUCCUGGCUGCUACUCCUACUGAUGAUAACGAUCACCAAUUGAGUGGCAGAAGAGGGUGGGAGGUGGCGGGAGAGAAGCAAGAACAGAAGGAGGAGAGCCAGACAACGGGCGGAUAACAACGCCUGUCUCCAAGUGGGCUCAAGUGCUACAGGAGGUGGAGGAGGAUGAGGAGCAGGAGAAGGGGCAGCGAGACACGCAGGCUGUGGAGAAGAUGGACGGACGACCGGCAGCAUCAGCAGCAAAGCCAAAAGCAGAAGCCGAAGCUACUUGAGAGCCACAGAGUUCCAAUUCCAAAGAGGCGAUCGUGUGUCUAUAUGCAUGCUGAAGUGGCAGGCAACGCGGAGUUGCACAGCCACCAUUCCACUCCAUUACCAGUUCGCAGAUCGCCGCUUCCAGCAUCCAACAUCCAACAUCCAGCUCCAAGGAGCUGGCAAUCAAAUGGCCAACGUUGUACAAUGACUUUCACGCCUUUCGAGCGCGCCAAAACGGACAAUUCAAGUACAGGCGGCCAAGAGGCAAACCCAGAUACCCUACCUAACUAAAUAGAUUUAGGCUUGUUCAUUUGAGUGUUAGCCACAUAAACAUGUCGGAAUUGUGAUAUUUGUAUUAUUAUUAUUUCCAGAAUGUAUGCUUUUUGCUUUUCUUUUUGAUUGCAAGACAUUUACUAGAGUUUUUAUUGUAUCAUCCUCAGAACUAAAAUUUUGCAUCGAAAAUCAAGAUAAUAUCUUAAUUUUUUUAAACAUUUACGAAUAUUAAAUCGGGAUUGGCUGAUCUGAUUUGUGUGAAUAUUUUUGUGUUAUCAAUGAUCGGCCUCUCGUUUUCAAUUUCCGUUACGAUCAAUCAGCACUUAAGACUUCAAUCUAAACUUCAACUCUCGAUCGAGGAGGGGAAGAGAUAUUAAUGUAAGUUUAACGGACAACCGUCCCAUUGAUAUGGCAAAAAAGUGUUUAUAGUUUAGUUACGUCUUAUCGCUAAAUUACGGUUGGGUGCGAUUAACUCUGGAUGUCUGGUAAUAUUCACAACAAUCACAAAGUUAAGAUCACAGGUUAGUUUUCAAUUUAAAAUUUGCACACUUUACGUACUCGUUGG
Long non-coding RNA from Drosophila eugracilis, 4385 nucleotides. RefSeq lists it as uncharacterized. The transcript has 3 exons. The record is from RefSeq and is a predicted model, not a curated record. Lineage: Eukaryota; Metazoa; Arthropoda; Insecta; Diptera; Drosophilidae.